RNAcentral lists this ribosomal RNA (301 nucleotides) under uncultured bacterium. RNAcentral describes it as "partial 16S ribosomal RNA". It matches the Rfam family "Bacterial small subunit ribosomal RNA", at positions 509 to 807 of the family's 1533-position model. The record is from RNAcentral.
CAGCAGCCGCGGUAACACGGAGGGUGCAAGCGUUAAUCGGAAUUACUGGGCGUAAAGCGCACGCAGGCGGUUUGUUAAGUCAGAUGUGAAAUCCCCGAGCUUAACUUGGGAACUGCAUUUGAAACUGGCAAGCUAGAGUCUUGUAGAGGGGGGUAGAAUUCCAGGUGUAGCGGUGAAAUGCGUAGAGAUCUGGAGGAAUACCGGUGGCGAAGGCGGCCCCCUGGACAAAGACUGACGCUCAGGUGCGAAAGCGUGGGGAGCAAACAGGAUUAGAUACCCCAGUAGUCCCUGUCUCUUAUAC